Molecule: long non-coding RNA, 1621 nt
Filed under: Phoenix dactylifera (date palm)
Lineage: Eukaryota; Viridiplantae; Streptophyta; Magnoliopsida; Arecales; Arecaceae
Description: long non-coding RNA (PDAC_LNC011294)
Source: RNAcentral
GCAAAUUAAAUCCUCUCAGAUUUCGAUUCAUCCAUUUAUCCCAAUUCUCCUGCAUCACAUCUUAGCCAUUCGCAUUCAAUUUGUUCUUUUCUUUUCACGUGUGCAUGAAACAUCCCAGCCAACCUCCCGUGCUUUCCUAGCCGUAAGCACAACCAAGAUCUUUCUCAUUGCACAUCAUCCACGUAAGUGUCCUUCCCAGCUCCCCUGCAUUCAGGACAUACAUCUAGAAUCAAACAUGGACCGAAUCCCAUGCAUCCUCAUCCCAUCGGAAUUAACUCCAUCAUCUCGGAUUACAGCCUUACCCCUUCUUCGGAUUAACUUCAUCGUCCACGGCUUGAUUUCAUGAAAUCUCCAACGUCCCAGCAUCCUCAUCCUCUCCCCAUCGUGUCUUCACUCCACAGCCUUUCCACGGAUAAGCUCCACCUCUUGAUCAUGGAGCAGAUCCAUCUUCUUCCAGAUCAUUCCAUCAUACAACCGAGUCCAAGCUCCCUCCCGUAAGAUAAGCUUUAGAUCCCAACGAGGAUGAGCCUUCCGAACUUGAUAUUCUCUUCCGAAUCACAAGUCAAUCUCCCUUCUGUUUGUAAUCGGUUGCUACCCGCACGUUGAUUCUCCCACUUUCAGCAUCCCAGAUCAAACCCCUGUUCCAAAUCCCAGCUGAAUCUAGCCUUCAUCGCCCAUGGAUAAAGCCAGGCUUCCGCUCAUCUCACGCGUGUCCUCCCUCCCGUCCGUGAUUCAAGGAUCAGCUCCCGGUUCCCCUGUUCCGAGCUCAUCUUUAUCUCGAACCAAAUCCAAACUCCAUCCCAUCCGUAUUUGUUCCUAGCAUAUUCCUUCUCUCUCGAUUCAUCCUUAUCUUCUUCCCAACGAUUUCCCCCAUCUCAGCUGUGAGCAACAUGCCUUGCAUCCAUAUCCCCUGUUCUGGAUCAACCUCAUCCGCAAGCCAACCAUCAGCCAAACUGUUCGGAUCGCAGCCCAGCAAUUUUUCCAUGAUUCCGUUCGAUUCCUCUGUACAUCUCAGCAUGAUCAUCCUUAUCCAGCUGCUAGCCGAGUCCCAAGCGUCACCCCAUUCGUGAUGAGCAUCCAGGAUCCAUGGGAUAGGUCUCAGACAUCUGUUCAUAACAUCCCGAGCUUGAAGGAUCCAGCGAUCAACUCCAUCCAGCAGUGUGUCCAAGGAUCAAGGAACAGAGCCUCACAGAUCACUCCCUUCCAGUUCAUCCCAGCGUCCCCCAACUUCUCCCGCAUCCGGAUCUCCCGCAGCCAACAAAUCUCAACUCCUCCACGCAGCCGGAUCAACUCCAUCCAGCCAUCCUUAUCCCAUAUUCAAGCUUAUCCUUCGCACGAAACAGGGGGGGCUGAGAGGCUAUAAAAAGAGGAGGGUUUUCUUUGGGAUUUAUCCUUCUUCCCCAUCGGGGGACUGAUCCCAGCUCUUCUCUGAAUCCAUCAAGCUUCUCUUCGGUCCCAUUCAUUCCUUCUCACCCAAUCCCAUCCAUUAGUUCUUUUAUUCGCAAAGCCCACGGGAAACAGGGAAGGGAGGAAAGAAUCAGGAAAGGAAGGGAGGAAGAAGAUGGAAGCUCUUCGUGCUGCUGCUAUCGUCCACAACUAUAUGCAGGGCUGAUUUCUUCUC